CCUUCGCCAGCAGGUUAGGUUGAGUGGGGCUCCCGGAGAAAGAAGGAUCUGGAAGGUGCCGAUGCUCGAGGAGAGGGAUCGGGCAUGAGGAAGAGAACGGAGGAUUCGCCCCGCGGAGCCGCGUACACCGUCUCUCUCUCCCAAACAUGGCCAUGUUCCUCCCUCUCUCCACACCGACAAACUCACCGGAAGAAGAGCGUCCGGUACAUUUGGUGCGCCUCAUAGUAAUCGCCCUUCUCGACGCUCGCCCGGAGCUUGCUCUCGACCCGCUGGACUCCGCCCCGGUUCCUGCAGCACUUGGGCACCUCGCCGUCCGCCAUUGCUACCCGCAGCCAAAGGUCAAAGGGCGAGCCGCUUAUGCGCGGCGCGCCGACGUCAUGGCUACGGCGUCCUUCGCCGCUCAAAGAACGCGGGGUCCAGUCAUCUUCAAAAUCACAGCGGAGGCCGGCGUGGAAGAGGAGGUGCUGCAGCCGCUGGAAGUCUGACACUUCUAGAAUUAGGGGAAACUCCUAAUCGGGGGUGAUGACGUGAGGCCUCCACCAGCCGGAGCUCUUCACUAAGAUUAUAUCUGACCCUCAACUCCACAUUCGUGCAUCUCACCCCCUAUGCCACCCGAGAACAAAACUAAUCUUUCAGACUCCGGCCGGGAAUCGAUCCCCCUCUUGGCCGCCUUUCAAGGAGAGUCUUACAGGCUCACUGAGGGAAUGCUUGCCUAGUGUCGACAAGCUGCCUUGUGUUUUUCCCACUGCCAGCAGAAGAGAUUCUACAUACGAUACCAUUUGAUAAAACUGAGGACAAAGCCUUAUCUGGGGACCGCAAGAAAAAUUGUUACUCAAAGAUCUUGGCAAUGAGGAAUAAGUUGGAUUACAACCACAAAACACCAUUUUCUUUUCACCUAUCCUAAUAAUAUUUCUAUCAAAUUUUUUUGAGAAGUGAACAGUAACAUCAGUGGAGGAGGCAAGAUAUUAGCAGGCUCUUAAAGUUUAAAAGAUCUGGUUUCAUUUUACUGAUGUUCCCAAUACUAAAAUAGAAAUAAAAUGAAAAGCUAGGUUUUUUUUUUGGCUCCAAGUCUUCAGUACGAGGAGAGAUUGGCAAGAUUGGGAUUGUUUUUGCUGGAGUUCAGACAAACGAGGGGGAAUUUCAUAGGGUAGAUGAAGGGAGGAUGUUCCUGAUGGUGGGUGUCCAGAACCAGGUCUCACAGUAUGAGGAUUUAGAGUAAAGGAUUUAGGACACAGAUGGGGAGACAUUUCUUCAUGCACAGGAAGUAGUUGAUACCCAAACAGCAAAUGUAUUCAAAAAGAUGACUAGAUAUAGCACUUGGAGUGAAUGGGAUUGAAGAUUAUGGGAAGAAAGCAGGAUUAGGCUAUUGAAUUCAAUGAUCAGCUGGGGGAGUAGGCAUAAAGGGGUGAAUGGCCUCUACCUCCUAUCUUCUAAUGUUUCCAUAGUAAUGGAAUAUGAGCCACUCAUUUGCUUCUUUUUUAUUUAUUUCGUUUGUGGAAUAUGGGCAUCGCUGGCUAGCAUUUUUUACCCAUCCCCAGUUGCCUGUGUCACAGACAGUGUCAAGCUUCUUGAGUAUUGUUGCUUCCAAGGCAAAUAAUACUGACUUUGGCAGACAAUGAAUUCUUGAAGCAUAAUAUGGACUACUCCAAUAUUACUGAAAACACUGAUUCCAAUUAAUGACUACAAUGCUCUAACAGCUGAGUAGUAGCCUCUAAUAUCUUGCUCUUUUAGACUUGCUUAUAAAGAACCUGCUGCUUUCUCAGCACAUUAAAAACACUAGUCUAGGAAGGUCUCCAUUCUUUUAAGGAUCAAUGCCUUUAGAACCAAGUGAGGUUAAUAAUGUAGAGGGGCUAGGAAUUCUGCACCAAUCAGACAAUUACAUCUAAAGUCUUAAAAAAGGUAGAAUUGUCUUUGACACAAGCCAACCACAUUGCAGGUCAAGAGAUUUUAGAAUCAGAAAUACAGAGAUUGCAUGCCACAAUCAAUGACCCUACGAGUAUAGGCACCCACUCACUGAGGUCCGUGCUGGAGGUGGUUAGGCAGAUGAGAUAGGUGCCAAAUCUGCAUUGCAGUUGAACCUAUACAGUCUAACAAUCAGAGGGAAGGCUCACUUGAGGAGUGGUGACCCAAAGUGAACAUUUAAUCCAAAAUCUGUAUGCUUAGGUGGAGGACAAUUUAUGCUAUGAAUAUGUGGAAUGUUACAUCAAGCAUGAGUCUACAUACACAUGGCUGGGGGAAGAUUGUUUGAAGAUAAAGGAAAUCAGACUUGAAGUACUGGAAUAAUCGCCAAUUAAUUUCAUACAUAAUUUUACUUGCAAGUACAAAGGAAGUUGUGUUGUAAUAAAUAAUUGGUGGAGAAAAUCAUCAACUUUCUCCAUAUACAGCAGAAAGUUACAUGUAAUGAUUGAAGAAAUGAAGACUCUCCAAAAGAAAGAAGAAAUCCUGUCAACAGGAUGGUUUGAGGGCAGUUAUCUCAACUGGAGGACAUCCCUGCAAGCUCCUUAGGAUAGAUAUUUUCUGAUCAAUCUGAUUAGAGAUGUUAUUACACACCUCUGGAGCAUAUGGGACUUGAACCUGGGCCUCUGGCUCAGAGGUAGGAGCAUCACCACUGCAUGUAAGAGGCCAGAGUGCCUCAAGAUAGUGCCCUGGACCCGAUGAUCUUCAGCUGCUUCAUCAUUGACAUACCCUCUAAGUUCAGAUAUGGGGACAUUCACCAACAAUUGCACAUUAUUCAGCACCAUUUGUGACUCAAAAUACUGAAACAUUCCAUGUCCAAAUGCAACAAGAUCUGGAUAAUAUCCAGGCGAGAGUGCGACAAAAAUUUUGCACCAUAUGAACGACAGGCAAUGAUCAUCUCCAAAAAGAGAGAAUCUAACCAUCAUCCUUUGACAUUCAAUCAUGUUAUGAUCACUAAAUCUCCCAUGAUCAACAUCCUUGGUGAUCAGAAACUGAACUGGAAAAUCAUAAAUAUUGUGGCAAUGAAAGCAGGACAGAGGCUAGGAAUUCUACAAUGAGUAGUCCAUCACCUGACUCCCCAAAGCCCAUCCAUCCACAAGGCACAAAUAAGGAGUUUGCUGGAAUGCUCUUUACUUGCCUGGAUGAUUGCAGCUACAACAACAAUGAAGGUACAUGACACUAUUCAAGGCUAAGAAGCUUGCUUGAUUGGCACCAUACCCACAAGCAUCCAGUCCCUUCAUCACUGACCCUCAAUAUCAGUAAUGUAUACCAUCUACAAGCUGUAGUGCAGAAAUUCACCCAAGAACCUUCAAAAACACCUUUCAAAUCCAUGACUGCUUUUUUCUAGAAGGUCAAGGGCAGCAGAUAGACCUACAGGUUCUCUCCAAGGAGACUAAAAAUGGUCAAUAAAAGCUGGCCAGCCAGCAAUGCCCACAUCUCAUGACCAAACUUUAAAAAAAAAAUCACCACAAAUGCAAGUUAGAUUCUAAAAAGUGAAAGACUGGGUCAUAUCCCUUCCAUGAUCAAGAUUCAACCAGACACAAAUGAGUUUUAAACAACAAUUAAAGUUUGAUGAACAAAACUAGACAUGAGAAGAGAUUGUGAAGUACUGUUAUAUUUCAAUGUAAAUUCAUUUCAGGAGAAAAAGAUCAAUCAGAAUCUUUUAUAUUCUACCUUAAGUCUUACGCAAGUACUUUUAAAAUAAAUUCUGUAAAAAUCA
Molecule: long non-coding RNA, 3676 nt
Organism: Rhincodon typus (whale shark)
Lineage: Eukaryota; Metazoa; Chordata; Chondrichthyes; Orectolobiformes; Rhincodontidae
Exons: 2
Source: RefSeq, a predicted model, not a curated record